RNAcentral lists this ribosomal RNA (500 nucleotides) under uncultured bacterium. Its description in RNAcentral is "partial 16S ribosomal RNA". It matches the Rfam family "Bacterial small subunit ribosomal RNA", at positions 30 to 523 of the family's 1533-position model. The record is from RNAcentral.
AUUGAACGCUGGCGGCAGGCCUAACACAUGCAAGUCGAGCGGAUGAGAGGAGCUUGCUCCUCGAUUCAGCGGCGGACGGGUGAGUAAUGCCUAGGAAUCUGCCCAGUAGUGGGGGACAACGUUUCGAAAGGAACGCUAAUACCGCAUACGUCCUACGGGAGAAAGUGGGGGAUCUUCGGACCUCACGCUAUUGGAUGAGCCUAGGUCGGAUGAGCUAGUUGGUAGGGUAAAGGCCUACCAGGGCGACGAUCCGUAACUGGUCUGAGAGGAUGAUCAGUCACACUGGAACUGAGACACGGUCCAGACUCCUACGGGAGGCAGCAGUGGGGAAUAUUGGACAAUGGGCGCAAGCCUGAUCCAGCCAUGCCGCGUGUGUGAAGAAGGCCCUCGGGUCGUAAAGCACUUUAAGUUGGGAGGAAGGGCUUACAGCGAAUACCUGUGAGUUUUGACGUUACCGACAGAAUAAGCACCGGCUAACUUCGUGCCAGCAGCCGCCGUAA